Long non-coding RNA from Sinocyclocheilus rhinocerous, 146 nucleotides. RefSeq lists it as uncharacterized. The record is from RefSeq and is a predicted model, not a curated record. The transcript has 2 exons. Lineage: Eukaryota; Metazoa; Chordata; Actinopteri; Cypriniformes; Cyprinidae.
UUUUUUGUUUGAAUCGGGUAUUUUCAAGUGAACUCAUUCUCUCUUGGUUAUAUGCAGCCAGCGAGUUUGACGGUGGAAUUCAUUGAUGAUGAGUGAGAUGGCGAAGAUAAGGAUGACAAGCGAAAUAAAUCCAUCGGUAACCAGAA